UUUUGGGCGUCACUAUUAUUCAAAAUCACACCUUUAACACACUUUAUUUAGCUGAUGACUCGGUGUUAGUCUGGACCAGAUCCAUCAAACUGGACUCCUGCGUGUUGAACCAGUCUUCCCAUCCACCAGGUACCCCUCAGGAUCCUGCUCUACCUGUGGGCCGUCCUGGCGGGCAUGUCGCGGGUGCUGUUGGGUAAACACCACCUGUCGGACGUCAGCUGUGGCUUCGCUCUGGGCCUCCUGCACUUCAGCCUGGUGGAGUCCGUGUGGCUGGACUCUGACACCUGCCAGACCCUCAUCUCCAUCGGCACGCUGCGCUGGACUCCGCUCAUCUGAACUGGUCUGGACCGGCUUGGCAGGAUUGCACACAUUUUUUUAAUCUGGCCCGUGUAGAUUAUUAGAAAUAAACUGACGACUCGGUUCAUAAAUUAACAAUUAAUAAAAUGCAUUUAGUGUACACCAGAAUAUGAUACACCAUGAUUCUGAACUAUCAAUAAAGUAACAAGAUUAUUAUAAAACCACUGUAAUUCUUCAAUAGAAUAAUACGAAUGUAGAGCUACGAUUGUAUUUAAUAUAAUGUAACCAACCGAAAUGCAUGCAUGGAUUACUUGUUACCACAACUGAUGUUGACUGAGAGACAUUCGAGGAGACCACUCCCAUGGGCGUGGACACCUGUAGGCGCCCAUUGUUCUGGUUCGCUGGUGGAGGCACUGUGGGGGGUCAAUGGGCCCUGUGGGCAGCGGCUCCUCAGCUGAGAUGUUCUUUUUAGCACAACACCCUUUCUUUUAUUAAAUAAAUAAUUUGAUUUUAACUUUCAUUACAAGAUGUCUUCUGUCCUUCCGGAGUUUCUUCAUAUUUAGAACACAACACCCGUCUGGACUCGAUGCUCCAUUGAGACCAGUUUGGAGAAACUCUAUGACGACUGGGGAGUCUUGGAAAUGGAGCUGCUUCAGAUAGUGGUUCAGAGAUGUUGCAAAGAGCAAGACACCCUAAAACUAAGCCCCUCCCCUCCCAGUUGACUACCAAUAAGCCCCUCCUCUCCCAGUUGACUACCAAUAAGCCCCUCCUCUCCCAAUUGACUACCAAUAAGCCCUCCCAGGGGCCUAACUUUAAACUCCUGCUGCACGCUGAUGGAUGUUAUACUUCUAUUGAUGUAUUGAUAUCUAUUGAUGUGUGUCAUCACAAGUUCAGUCAUAUAAUUGAUUCAAAACAUCUAACGCUGAAUGAAGAGAUAAAUUAACCGACGUUAUUUAGCAGCAAAACAAACUGAAACCACAGAAAACAAAGUCUAAAUCUGUUAAAUAAAAUCCUUUCAUCCGUCUGAACUGAAUCUGUUUUCACUUUAAACGUAUCA
This is a long non-coding RNA of Gasterosteus aculeatus (three-spined stickleback), 1354 nucleotides long. The record is from Ensembl. NCBI's taxonomy places the organism in Eukaryota, Metazoa, Chordata, Actinopteri, Perciformes, Gasterosteidae.